GAUGAAGAACGCAGCGAAAUGCGAUACGUAGUGUGAAUUGCAGAAUUCAGUGAAUCAUCGAAUCUUUGAACGCACAUUGCACCUCUCGGUAUUCCGGGAGGUAUGCCUGUUCGAGCGUCAUUUGUACCCUCAAGCUCUGCUUGGUGUUGGGUGUUUGUUCCGCCUCUGUGUGUGAACUCGCCUCAAAACAAUUGGCAGCCGGCGUACUUGUUUCGGAGCGCAGCACAUCUUGCGAUCCAGAUCAACGUACAGCGGCAUCCAAGAAGCCUUAUUUAACGCUCUUGACCUCGGAUCAGGUAGGGAUACCCGCUGAACUUAAGCAUAUCAAUAAGCGGAGGA
This 339-nucleotide unclassified non-coding RNA is filed under the name soil metagenome. RNAcentral's name for it is "partial contains 5.8S ribosomal RNA, internal transcribed spacer 2, and large subunit ribosomal RNA". The stretch from base 1 to 120 matches the Rfam family "5.8S ribosomal RNA", at positions 35 to 154 of the family's 154-position model. The record is from RNAcentral.